AAACCUAAAUAGGCUAUGGCAUCCAUGGGAAAGAGAAAAAGUUGAAUACUUUACUUUGGGUGAUCUUUGGAAUUGUUAUGAUGAAUGGAGUGCUUAUGGUGCUGGAGUUCCAAUCAGAUUAGAUUCUGGUGAAACUUUAGUUCAAUAUUAUGUGCCUUAUCUUUCAGCAAUUCAAAUUUUCACCAGCAGUUCAUCUGUAAGCAUUUUAAGGGAGGAGACUGAGUCUGCGUGGGAAAUGAGGGAUUCUUGCAGUGAUUCAUUCAGUGAAGAGAGUGAGAGUGAAAAGCUUUCGAGAUCGGAUGGGGGUUCAUCGGAGGAAGGUUUAUUUGAGCAAGAUAAUCAGUUACAAAUGAAUAAUAGAUUGGGUUACCUUUAUUAUCAAUACUUUGAAAGAUCUUCUCCAUAUGGAAGAGUACCUCUGGUGGAUAAGAUUAGUAGCUUAGCUGAAAGACACCCCGGAUUAAUGUCAUUGAGAAGCGUAGAUCUUUCACCAGCUAGUUGGAUGUCAGUUGCUUGGUACCCGAUAUAUCACAUUCCCAUGGGAAGAACCAUUAAGGACUUGUCGACCUGCUUUCUCACAUUCCACACCCUUUCUUCUUCUUUUCAAGAUAUGGACCUUGAUGAUGACAUGGAGAAUGGCAAACGAAAACGAAAGGAAGGAGAAAGUAUCCCCCUUGCACCUUUCGGCUUGGGCACUUACAAAAUGCAGGGAGAUGUGUGGCUUUCAGACAGGAGUGGGAAGGACCAAGAGAGGCUGUCAACACUUUUUAGUGUUGCUGAUUCUUGGCUAAAGCAGUUGGGUGUCCAGCACCACGACUUUAACUAUUUCAUGGGUAGUUGUCGUGGCUAAUCACAUCUCAAAUGAAUGAAUUCGCGCUUUAUAAAACCCCACCAACGGGGCUGAGUAAUAACUGGAGUUCCUUUCAUUAAAACAUAGGCUCUCUGAGGUGUUUUUGGUUUGUUGCUUUCGGUAGCAUGAACAGCCUUAGAACUCCCUCCUGUAUAAAGGCAUUAGUGUUUUACGCGUUGUUCUCCGAAUCCUUAGCUUGAGCUUUCUGUGACUUGUUUUUUUUUGUAUGUAUAGGGAGAGGACUAAUUGUGUAGGACUUCAUCUUUACAUGACUCUUAUGAUGACCCCUAGUACUUUGUGAGCAAUACUUUGCUUCAUCUUUUGUAUAAAUUUUGAAGUACCUUUUUUGGUGUUUCAUCUGUGCUUUUUCCUUGUAAUAUGUUCAUGUAAAUAGUUCAUCUUUCAAUAGUAAAA
Molecule: unclassified non-coding RNA, 1264 nt
Filed under: Hevea brasiliensis (rubber tree)
Lineage: Eukaryota; Viridiplantae; Streptophyta; Magnoliopsida; Malpighiales; Euphorbiaceae
Source: RNAcentral